AUGGUGUCUUCGUCGUCGUCCCCCGCGGCCAGCGCCGAAGCCGACUCCCCGAUCGUCCACGUCGCCUUCAGCAGCGGCGCCUCCCACUUCGUCGCGUCCACGGCCACCGGGUUCCACGUCUUCUCCUGCGACGAGUCGGUCGAGCGCGUCCGCUACAAGUCCAUCGCCGACGUCUCGGACGGCGCCGAGGUGACCUCCGCCGAGAUGCUCACGUGGUCGCGCCUGGCCGUCGUGACCCGGGAGACGGGCGGCGCCGAGCACGAGGCGAUCUACUUUUUUGACGAGAGCAAGAAGGCGAUACGCAUCAGCUCGGACAAGACCCCCGGCCUCGGUGUCGUGGGCGGGAUCCGCCUUCUCGGGGACCGUGCGCUCAUCGCCGGCCAGAAGAUGGCGAUGCUGGUCCUCAGGGGCCACAUCAAGAACUCGGAGCUGGUCGCGACGGGCCCGAACCCGCUGGGGCUGUGCGCGCUGGCGGUUGACCGCCGAGCGGCGACGUUCAUGUACGCCCUGCCGCGGCCGGAGAAGGGCGCGGUGCAGGUCUGCCGGAGCGGCCAGCUCGGCAGCGUCGACGUGCGCGCGCACGCGUCGAGCCUGUCGUGCAUCGCGCUCUCCCGCGACGGCCGGCUGCUCGCCACGGCCGGCUCCAAGGGCACGCUCGUGCGCAUCUUCAGCACCGACGACGGCACCAUGGUGCAAGAGCUAAGGAGAGGUAUUGACAGAGCAGACAUCCACUGCAUCGCCUUCUCGCUGGAAUCCCAAUGGCUGGCCGUCUCCAGCGACAAGGGGACGGUGCACGUUUUCCCGGUCGCUAGCGUCAACAAGGCGACCGAGGGCGGCGGCGACGACAGCGAUAACAUGCCGGUAACACCACCGGCAGCGGCAGCGGCAGCGGCAACAGCCAAGCAGGGAUCGUCGCUAUCAUUCUUGAAAGGUUACUUGCCGAGCUACUUCAGCUCGGAGUGGUCGCUGGCUCAGGUCCGGCUCCGUGAAGGCGUCGACUACACGGUGGAGUUCUGGCGGCACCACCCCAACACCAUCCUCAUCGCCGGCACGGACGGAAGCUUCUACCGGUGCCGUUUUGACCCCGUGAACGCGGGCGAGAUGAAGGAGCUGGAACACGAGAGAUUCAUUAAGAAGAUCAAGGAGUGA
Molecule: ribosomal RNA, 1149 nt
Filed under: Triticum aestivum (bread wheat)
Lineage: Eukaryota; Viridiplantae; Streptophyta; Magnoliopsida; Poales; Poaceae
Description: partial small subunit ribosomal RNA
Source: RNAcentral